GGAUUAUGGCUCAGUGGUAGAGCACUCGCCUAGCAUGCGUGGGACUCUGGGUUCAAUUCUCAGCACCA
RNAcentral lists this transfer RNA (68 nucleotides) under Marmota monax (woodchuck). RNAcentral's name for it is "tRNA.Ala". The stretch from base 7 to 63 matches the Rfam family "tRNA", at positions 8 to 63 of the family's 71-position model. From Rfam's summary of the family: Transfer RNA (tRNA) molecules are approximately 80 nucleotides in length. Their secondary structure includes four short double-helical elements and three loops (D, anti-codon, and T loops). Lineage: Eukaryota; Metazoa; Chordata; Mammalia; Rodentia; Sciuridae. The record is from RNAcentral.